RNAcentral lists this ribosomal RNA (484 nucleotides) under uncultured bacterium. RNAcentral describes it as "partial 16S ribosomal RNA". It matches the Rfam family "Bacterial small subunit ribosomal RNA", at positions 30 to 507 of the family's 1533-position model. The record is from RNAcentral.
AUUGAACGCUGGCGGCAGGCCUAACACAUGCAAGUCGAGCGGAUGAAGGGAGCUUGCGCCUGGAUGCAGCGGCGGACGGGUGAGUAAGGCCUAGGAAUCUGACUGGUAGUUGGGGAUAAGGUCAGGAAACGGGCGCUAAUACCGCAUACGUCAUGAGGUAGAAAGGCGGGGAUCUUUGGAGCUCGCGGUAUCAGAUGAGACUAGGUCGUAUUAGCUAGUUGGUGGGGUAAAGGCUUACCAAGGCGACGAUCCGUAACCGGGCUGAGAGGAUGAUCAGUCACACUGGAACUGAGACACGGUCCAGACUCCUACGGGAGGCAGCAGUAGGGAAUCUUGCACAAUGGGCGAAAGCCUGAUGCAGUCAUGCCGCGUGUGUGAUGAAGGUCUUCGGAUUGUAAAGCUCUUUUAGUUGGGAGGAAGAAAUGUAUGUUUAUCUAUGCACGUCUUGACGUUACCUAAAGAGAAAGCCACGGCUAACUUCGUG